RNAcentral lists this ribosomal RNA (380 nucleotides) under uncultured archaeon. RNAcentral's name for it is "bacterial SSU rRNA". It matches the Rfam family "Archaeal small subunit ribosomal RNA", at positions 471 to 851 of the family's 1478-position model. The record is from RNAcentral.
UAACACCAGCCCCUCGAGUGGUAGGGAUGAUUAUUUGGCCUAAAGCGUCCGUAGCUGGCCCUGUAAAUCUCUCGUUAAAUCCAACGUCCUAAGCGUUGGGCUGCGAGAGAGACUGCAGAGCUAGAGGGUGGGAGAGGUCAGCGGUAUUCCUGGGGUAGGGGCGAAAUCCAUUGAUCCCAGGAGGACCACCAGUGGCGAAGGCUGCUGACUAGAACACGCCUGACAGUGAGGGACGAAAGCUGGGGUAGCGAAUCGGAUUAGAUACCCGAGUAGUCCCAGCCGUAAACGAUGCAGGUUAGGUGUUGGGUCGGCCAUGUGCUGGCUCAGUGCCACAGGGAAGCCAUUAAACCUGCCGCCUGGGGAGUACGGCCGCAAGGCUG